RNAcentral lists this ribosomal RNA (301 nucleotides) under uncultured bacterium. Its description in RNAcentral is "partial 16S ribosomal RNA". It matches the Rfam family "Bacterial small subunit ribosomal RNA", at positions 509 to 807 of the family's 1533-position model. The record is from RNAcentral.
CAGUCGCCGCGGGAAUACGAAGGGGGCUAGCGUUGCUCGGAAUCACUGGGCGUAAAGGGUGCGUAGGCGGGUCUUUAAGUCAGGGGUGAAAUCCUGGAGCUCAACUCCAGAACUGCCUUUGAUACUGAAGAUCUUGAGUUCGGGAGAGGUGAGUGGAACUGCGAGUGUAGAGGUGAAAUUCGUAGAUAUUCGCAAGAACACCAGUGGCGAAGGCGGCUCACUGGCCCGAUACUGACGCUCAUGCACGAAAGCGUGGGGAGCAAACAGGAUUAGAUACCCCAGUAGUCCCUGUCUCUUAUAC